AACAUGCAGCUUCCACCUUGUGGGCGGACAGGACUACUCUAGCUCCAGCCAUCACACCUGCAUUUCAACUAUUGGGAAGGGGAUAAGUGGAAAGGGAGAGCAUACUUCUUUCCCUCAAGCUGUGCUUGAUGGAAACAUCUGUUCUUCAGGUAAAAGCCAAGAAGAACCAGUUUUAGACUGGUGUGUGAUUUGCUGAAGAGCUUGGAAGGUACCAGAGGAGAUUCAUGUCGAAAUCCCAUCUCCUGUUCUCCAACCUUACUUUCUAUGAAGACAAAACUUUGAAGACAAACUGAGUUUCCACAGGAAUAAUCACACAGAAGGACAGACCACUGCUAAUUUAGGUAGCUGGCGAUGCAGGGGUGUUGCCUCCUCUCCAGCAUGUCAGCCCAACUUCCUUUCAGUCUCUGCUGUCCAACACCCAGUCUAGCUAGUUCAAACUCAUCGUCUCACCAAAUUCCAAGGCUAUUAAAGAUUCAAGGACAGGGCUCAGUUGGUUAAGCAUCCAACUCUUGAUUUCAGCUCAGGUCAUGAUCUCACCGUUCAUGAGUUCAAGCCCCAUGCUGGGCUCUGCACUGACAGUGCGGAGCCUGCUUGGGAUUCUCUCUCCUACCCUCUCUCUGCACCCCCAUAUGUUUCUCUCAAAAUAAAUAAAUAAAUAAAUAAAUAAAUAAAUAAAUAUUUUUUUAAAAAGGGGUGUGGGGCAGCUGGGAGGCUCAGUCAGUUACGCAUCCAGCUCUUGGUUUUGGCUCAGGUCAUGAUCUCACGGUUUGUGGGUUUGAGCCCCACAUCAGGCUCCACACUGGCAAUGCGGAGCCUGCUUGGGAUUGUCUUUCUAUCCUUCUCUCUCUGUCCCUCCCCUGCUCACUCUCUCUCUCUGUC
This is a long non-coding RNA of Acinonyx jubatus (cheetah), 879 nucleotides long. RefSeq lists it as uncharacterized. The record is from RefSeq and is a predicted model, not a curated record. The transcript has 3 exons. NCBI's taxonomy places the organism in Eukaryota, Metazoa, Chordata, Mammalia, Carnivora, Felidae.